RNAcentral lists this ribosomal RNA (450 nucleotides) under uncultured bacterium. RNAcentral describes it as "partial 16S ribosomal RNA". It matches the Rfam family "Bacterial small subunit ribosomal RNA", at positions 338 to 795 of the family's 1533-position model. The record is from RNAcentral.
CCUACGGGGGGCAGCAGUGAGGAAUAUUGGUCAAUGGGGGCAACCCUGAACCAGCCAUGCCGCGUGAAGGAAGAAGGUCCUAAGGAUUGUAAACUUCUUUUGUACUAGGGUAAACUCUUGCUCGUGAGCGAGAUUGAAAGUAUAGUACGAAUAAGCAUCGGCUAACUCCGUGCCAGCAGCCGCGGUAAUACGGAGGAUGCGGGCGUUAUCCGGAUUUAUUGGGUUUAAGGGGUGCUUAGAAGGCUGUAGAGAAAGACUGUCGCUUAACGAUAGCAUUGCCAUUGAUACUGUAGAUCUUGAGUACAUUUGAGGUGGGCGGAAUGUGUAGUGUAGCGGUGAAAUGCUUAGAUAUUACACAGAACACCAAUUGCGAAGGCAGCUCACUAAACUGUAACUGACGCUGAGGCACGAAAGCGUGGGGAUCAAACAGGAUUAGAUACCCCGGUAGUC